GUGGGGAAUAUUGGGCAAUGGGGGAAACCCUGACCCAGCAACGCCGCGUGAGGGAAGAAGGUUUUCGGAUUGUAAACCUCUGUCCUUGGUGACGAAGGAAGUGACGGUAACCAAGGAGGAAGCCCCGGCUAACUACGUGCCAGCAGCCGCGGUAAUACGUAGGGGGCAAGCGUUGUCCGGAAUGACUGGGCGUAAAGGGCGUGUAGGCGGCCGGUUAAGUCUGGAGUGAAAGUCCUGCUUUCAAGGUGGGAAUUGCUUUGGAGACUGGUUGGCUUGAGUGCGGAAGAGGUAAGUGGAAUUCCCAGUGUAGCGGUGAAAUGCGUAGAGAUUGGGAGGAACACCAGUGGCGAAGGCGACUUACUGGGCCGUAACUGACGCUGAGGCGCGAAAGCGUGGGGAGCGAACAGGAUUAGAUACCCGUGUAGUCC
Molecule: ribosomal RNA, 428 nt
Filed under: uncultured bacterium
Lineage: Bacteria
Description: partial 16S ribosomal RNA
Rfam family: Bacterial small subunit ribosomal RNA
Source: RNAcentral